RNAcentral lists this ribosomal RNA (463 nucleotides) under uncultured bacterium. RNAcentral describes it as "partial 16S ribosomal RNA". It matches the Rfam family "Bacterial small subunit ribosomal RNA", at positions 28 to 507 of the family's 1533-position model. The record is from RNAcentral.
GACGAACGCUGGCGGCGUGCUUAACACAUGCAAGUCGAGCGGUAAGGCCCUUCGGGGUACACGAGCGGCGAACGGGUGAGUAACACGUGAGUAAUCUGCCCAUCACUUCGGGAUAACUCCGGGAAACCGGUGCUAAUACCGAAUAUGACCACUUCAGGCAUCUGAUGGUGGUGGAAAGUUCCGGCGGUGAUGGAUGAGCUCGCGGCCUAUCAGCUUGUUGGUGGGGUAGUGGCCUACCAAGGCUUCGACGGGUAGCCGGCCUGAGAGGGUGACCGGCCACACUGGGACUGCGACACGGCCCAGACUCCUACGGGAGGCAGCAGUGGGGAAUAUUGGACAAUGGGCGAAAGCCUGAUCCAGCAACGCCGCGUGAGGGAUGACGGCCUUCGGGUUGUAAACCUCUUUCAGCAGGGACGAAGCGCAAGUGACGGUACCUGCAGAAGAAGCACCGGCCAACUACGUG